This 729-nucleotide ribosomal RNA is filed under the name uncultured bacterium. RNAcentral's name for it is "bacterial SSU rRNA". It matches the Rfam family "Bacterial small subunit ribosomal RNA", at positions 771 to 1501 of the family's 1533-position model. The record is from RNAcentral.
AACAGGAUUAGAUACCCUGGUAGUCCACGCCGUAAACGAUGUCGACUUGGAGGUUGUGCCCUUGAGGCGUGCUUCCGGAGCUAACGCGUUAAGUCGACCGCCUGGGGAGUACGGCCGCAAGGUUAAAACUCAAAUGAAUUGACGGGGGCCCGCACAAGCGGUGGAGCAUGUGGUUUAAUUCGAUGCAACGCGAAGAACCUUACCUACUCUUGACAUCCAGAGAACUUAGCAGAGAUGCUUUGGUGCCUUCGGGAACUCUGAGACAGGUGCUGCAUGGCUGUCGUCAGCUCGUGUUGUGAAAUGUUGGGUUAAGUCCCGCAACGAGCGCAACCCUUAUCCUUUGUUGCCAGCGGUUCGGCCGGGAACUCAAAGGAGACUGCCAGUGAUAAACUGGAGGAAGGUGGGGAUGACGUCAAGUCAUCAUGGCCCUUACGAGUAGGGCUACACACGUGCUACAAUGGCAUAUACAAAGAGAAGCGACCUCGCGAGAGCAAGCGGACCUCAUAAAGUAUGUCGUAGUCCGGAUUGGAGUCUGCAACUCGACUCCAUGAAGUCGGAAUCGCUAGUAAUCGUGGAUCAGAAUGCCACGGUGAAUACGUUCCCGGGCCUUGUACACACCGCCCGUCACACCAUGGGAGUGGGUUGCAAAAGAAGUAGGUAGCUUAACCUUCGGGAGGGCGCUUACCACUUUGUGAUUCAUGACUGGGGUGAAGUCGUAACAAGGUAACC